This 66-nucleotide transfer RNA is filed under the name Eumacrocentrus sp. QL-2013. RNAcentral's name for it is "tRNA-Ser". The record is from RNAcentral. RNAcentral also lists the same sequence under 1 other name. Lineage: Eukaryota; Metazoa; Arthropoda; Insecta; Hymenoptera; Braconidae.
AGAUAAUGAACUUGAAUAAGUAUAUAUUUUGAAAAUAUAAAAUAGAAUUAAAAUUUCUAUUAUCUU